UACGGAGGUGGCAAGCGUUACUCGGAAUUACUGGGUGUAAAGGGCAAGUAGGCGGUCUAAUAAGCGAGGGGUGAAAUCUUCCGACUUAAUCGGAAAACUGCCUUUCGAACUGUUAGACUUGAGGCAGGCAGAGGGAAAUGGAAUUCCCGGUGUAAGGGUGAAAUCUGUAGAUAUCGGGAAGAACACCAACGGCGAAGGCAAUUUCCUGGGCCUGUCCUGACGCUAAAUUGCGAAAGCUAGGGGAGCAAACAGAAUUAGAUACUCUGGUAGUCCUAGCCGUAAACGAUGAGUACUAGGUGUCGGAUCGCAAGAUUCGGUGCCGCAGCUAACGCAUUAAGUACUCCACCUGGGGACUACGGUCGCAAGGCUAAA
This 372-nucleotide ribosomal RNA is filed under the name uncultured bacterium. RNAcentral's name for it is "bacterial SSU rRNA". It matches the Rfam family "Bacterial small subunit ribosomal RNA", at positions 524 to 898 of the family's 1533-position model. The record is from RNAcentral.